This 851-nucleotide ribosomal RNA is filed under the name uncultured bacterium. RNAcentral's name for it is "bacterial SSU rRNA". It matches the Rfam family "Bacterial small subunit ribosomal RNA", at positions 601 to 1453 of the family's 1533-position model. The record is from RNAcentral.
CCCCGGGCUCAACCUGGGAACUGCGUUNUGAACUGGGUGACUAGAGUGUGUCAGAGGGAGGUAGAAUUNCACGUGUAGCAGUGAAAUGCGUAGAGAUGUGGAGGAAUACCGAUGGCGAAGGCAGCCUCCUGGGAUAACACUGACGUUCAUGCCCGAAAGCGUGGGUAGCAAACAGGAUUAGAUACCCUGGUAGUCCACGCCCUAAACGAUGUCGAUUAGCUGUUGGGCAGCAUGACUGCUUAGUAGCGAAGCUAACGCGUGAAAUCGACCGCCUGGGGAGUACGGUCGCAAGAUUAAAACUCAAAGGAAUUGACGGGGACCCGCACAAGCGGUGGAUGAUGUGGAUUAAUUCGAUGCAACGCGAAGAACCUUACCCGGUCUUGACAUGUACGGAACCCUCCAGAGACGGAGGGGUGCCUUCGGGAGCCGUAACACAGGUGCUGCAUGGCUGUCGUCAGCUCGUGUCGUGAGAUGUUGGGUUAAGUCCCGCAACGAGCGCAACCCUUGUCAUUAGUUGCCAUCAUUAAGUUGGGCACUNUAAUGAGACUGCCGGUGACAAGCCGGAGGAAGGUGGGGAUGACGUCAAGUCCUCAUGGCCCUUAUGACCAGGGCUUCACACGUCAUACAAUGGUCGGUACAGAGGGUAGCCAAGCCGCGAGGUGGAGCCAAUCUCACAAAACCGAUCGUAGUCCGGAUUGCACUCUGCAACUCGAGUGCAUGAAGUCGGAAUCGNUAGUAAUCGCAGGUCAGCAUANUGCGGUGAAUACGUUCCCGGGUCUUGUACACACCGCCCGUCACACCAUGGGAGUGGGGGAUACCAGGAGUAGGUAGGGUAACCGCGAGGAGCCCNC